UACGUAGGGUGCGAGCGUUGUCCGGAAUUACUGGGCGUAAAGAGCUCGUAGGUGGUUUCUCGCGUUGUUCGUGAAAACUCACAGCUUAACUGUGGGCGUGCGGGCGAUACGGGCAGACUGGAGUACUGCAGGGGAGACUGGAAUUCCUGGUGUAGCGGUGGAAUGCGCAGAUAUCAGGAGGAACACCGGUGGCGAAGGCGGGUCUCUGGGCAGUAACUGACGCUGAGGAGCGAAAGCGUGGGGAGCGAACAGG
RNAcentral lists this ribosomal RNA (253 nucleotides) under uncultured bacterium. RNAcentral describes it as "partial 16S ribosomal RNA". It matches the Rfam family "Bacterial small subunit ribosomal RNA", at positions 524 to 776 of the family's 1533-position model. The record is from RNAcentral.